UACGUAGGGGGCAAGCGUUGUCCGGAUUUACUGGGCGUAAAGAGCGUGUAGGCGGCCAAGCAGGUCCGUUGUGAAAACUCGAGGCUCAACCUCGAGACGUCGGUUGAAACCACCUGGCUAGAGUCCGGAAGAGGAGAGUGGAAUUCCCGGUGUAGCGGUGAAAUGCGCAGAUAUCGGGAAGAACACCCGUGGCGAAGGCGGCUCUCUGGGACGGUACUGACGCUGAGACGCGAAAGCGUGGGGAGCAAACAGG
RNAcentral lists this ribosomal RNA (253 nucleotides) under uncultured bacterium. Its description in RNAcentral is "partial 16S ribosomal RNA". It matches the Rfam family "Bacterial small subunit ribosomal RNA", at positions 524 to 776 of the family's 1533-position model. The record is from RNAcentral.